RNAcentral lists this ribosomal RNA (255 nucleotides) under uncultured bacterium. RNAcentral describes it as "partial 16S ribosomal RNA". It matches the Rfam family "Bacterial small subunit ribosomal RNA", at positions 524 to 776 of the family's 1533-position model. The record is from RNAcentral.
UACGUAGGGUGCAAGCGUUGUCCGGAAUUAUUGGGCGUAAAGAGCUCGUAGGCGGUUCGUCACGUCGGCUGUGAAAUCCCGAGGCUCAACCUCGGGUCUGCAGUCGAUACGGGCGGACUGGAGUACUGCAGGGGAGACUGGAAUUCCUGGUGUAGCGGUGAAAUGCGCAGAUAUCAGGAGGAACACCGGUGGCGAAGGCGGGUCUCUGGGCAGUAACUGACGCUGGAGGAGCGAAAGCGUGGGGGAGCAAACGGG